UCGACUCUCGCGGGAGAGAUCGGGGCUUUCGGGCCCCGGAGCCGAAGGCGCAACCGCCCCGGAAACGCUCAGGCAAACGGACCGCGAAAGGCUG
RNAcentral lists this non-coding RNA (94 nucleotides) under Phenylobacterium zucineum. RNAcentral describes it as "Glycine sequence". It matches the Rfam family "Glycine riboswitch aptamer". From Rfam's summary of the family: This family represents the bacterial glycine riboswitch. Glycine riboswitches usually consist of two metabolite-binding aptamers domains with similar structures in tandem. The aptamers cooperatively bind glycine to regulate the expression of downstream genes. The record is from RNAcentral. Lineage: Bacteria; Pseudomonadati; Pseudomonadota; Alphaproteobacteria; Caulobacterales; Caulobacteraceae.